Non-coding RNA from Arthrobacter sp. Hiyo1, 100 nucleotides. The record is from Rfam. Lineage: Bacteria; Bacillati; Actinomycetota; Actinomycetes; Micrococcales; Micrococcaceae.
GAGAGCCCGGUGCAUUGAAAGGUGCCCGCCGGGUUCGGGAAGCGGUCCGGGGAAACGGGCCGGCCGUAAGGCUGGCACCGCGCCCCGGGCCGACUUUCAC